UCUUUUUUUCUUCUGCAUGGCGCUCUCUCAAAAUUUCCCCCACCAAUUAAAUCUCGUAUAUCCCUUUCUGUUUUCAUUAAGAUCGUUACCGUUGAGGGAGUUGCGGAAACCCUAAUUAACAGAUUCCAAACUCUGCCGUGAUCAUGGCAACUUCGGCUGAUUCUCGGGCUGCCAACAACUGCACGGGAAGAGAUAGAGAUGUGGUUAACUUUGCAAGAAUUUACUUAAUGGCGUCAGUCAAUUUUAAUAAUUGUGUGAACUUGACAUUUUCAUAAGUAAGCCUUGCUUGUCGGUGUGUAUAGAAAAUUUGGUUCCCUUCCUUGUCUUGCAUUUGCACACAUUUACCUACCAACAUUGAUUUUUGUAAGAGGGAUGAGGAAAGAGGAGAAAGAUAAAGGUAAUGAAUGAAGAAAGAAACAGGAAAGUAGUGAAGUGGACUAGAGGAGGAAGAAGUCUAGCAAUCAAUCUCCCACUGGUUGGUAAUGGGAAGAGUAAUAACACAUAGGCUUUGUUUAGACGUUGAAUGAAAGAUUUGCAACCAUCUCUACUUUUGUUUUUUUUCCCUCGUUUUUAAAGUCUCUGCUUGUUUCUGAAAUCACCAAGGAUAUAGUUCUAUUAGUGGUUAAACCAUCUCCAACCCUGAGAUCAUUUUUGGGGAUUUUCAGGUUUUUUUUUAUUAUUUUAUUUUUUUUUGCAUUGUG
This 701-nucleotide long non-coding RNA is filed under the name Eutrema salsugineum. RNAcentral's name for it is "long non-coding RNA (ESAL_LNC001529)". The record is from RNAcentral. Lineage: Eukaryota; Viridiplantae; Streptophyta; Magnoliopsida; Brassicales; Brassicaceae.